UAAGCAAUAGUGAAAGCGUGGGGCUCAACCUCAUAUACAUUAUUUGAACUGCUCAGCUAGAGGAUGAGAGAGGUCGCUGGAAUUGCUAGUGUAGGAGUGAAAUCCGUAGAUAUUAGCAGGAACACCGAUGGCGUAGGCAGGCGACUGGCUCAUUCCUGACACUAAGGCACGAAAGCGUGGGGAGCAAACGGGAUUAGAUACCCCCGGUAGUCCACGCCGUAAACGAUGGAUGCUA
RNAcentral lists this ribosomal RNA (235 nucleotides) under uncultured Candidatus Saccharibacteria bacterium. RNAcentral describes it as "partial 16S ribosomal RNA". It matches the Rfam family "Bacterial small subunit ribosomal RNA", at positions 584 to 818 of the family's 1533-position model. Lineage: Bacteria; Candidatus Saccharimonadota. The record is from RNAcentral.